AAGCAAACUCCUCCGUCCACCCACACUUCUCUGAUGAUUCAGGCGUGUGGCCAUCUGCUGGUGCAGUGGCGCUCCUCCCAUAGUCCCAUCGCAUGCACGAUGGUGUGGCGUCUGGCGUGGCAGAUAUGGAUGGCUUAUUGGGUUUUCCUCUCGGUGCAGGGUCCGUGGCAAAGGGGGAGGGCCGACGCCGGCGGGGGGGCCCGGGCAGGGAUGGAGAGAGCGGUCGAGUGGACCUCGGGAGCGAUGACAGAAG
This 253-nucleotide non-coding RNA is filed under the name Zea mays. Lineage: Eukaryota; Viridiplantae; Streptophyta; Magnoliopsida; Poales; Poaceae. The record is from RNAcentral.